Rhinolophus ferrumequinum (greater horseshoe bat) is the source of this 753-nucleotide non-coding RNA. The record is from the annotation of a RefSeq genome assembly. Lineage: Eukaryota; Metazoa; Chordata; Mammalia; Chiroptera; Rhinolophidae.
AGGGUAAAACCCUCCUUGGGCUGUGAGCUCCCAGCUCUCUCCUCACACAGGGCUGAGGUCUCUGGGGAAGGCAGAGCUGUGGUCUAGAAGAAGAUGGCACUGCUGGGUCUUCUCCUGUGCCUGGUGACAGCCCCCCAAGGUGUCCUGUCCCAGGUGCAGCUGCAGGAGUCGGGCCCAGGACUGGUGCAACCCUCGCAGACCCUGUCCCUCACCUGCGCUGUCUCUGGAUUCUCCAUCACCAGUGGUUACUGCUGGCACUGGAUCCGACAGCCCCCGGGGAAGGGACUGGAGUGGAUCGGGCGCAUAUGCUAUAAUGGGAACACAUACUACAGCCCGUCCCUCAAGAGCCGCUCCUCCAUCUCCAGAGACACGUCCAAGAACCAGUUCUCCCUGCAGCUGAGCUCUGUGACCACCGAGGACACGGCCGUGUAUUACUGUGCGAGGGACACAGUGAGGGGAAGUUCCAGGGACGGCAGCCGGGCGCUGUAUCUGCUGACAGGACUGGUCAAGCUCUCGGCUGGUGGAACUCACCCUGUCAUCUCUGGGAACACACGGCUUCCCAAGGAGAGCUGUCAGCUCAGUGCUCCGAACAGAGGGAUCCCCCACAUCUAUCCUCCAGAGGAGCCAGUGCCCUGCAGGAAGCAGUGGCAGCACCACAGUGGGGACAUGUGCCAGGGAGCGCUGGGAUGUGUAUCACCGAAUUUCUCCCAGAUUUCCUCCUGGAUCUGUGGCUUUCAAGCUUUGCUGCAGUGA